RNAcentral lists this ribosomal RNA (260 nucleotides) under uncultured Desulfovibrio sp. Its description in RNAcentral is "partial 16S ribosomal RNA". It matches the Rfam family "Bacterial small subunit ribosomal RNA", at positions 89 to 339 of the family's 1533-position model. The record is from RNAcentral. Lineage: Bacteria; Pseudomonadati; Thermodesulfobacteriota; Desulfovibrionia; Desulfovibrionales; Desulfovibrionaceae.
AGUAAAGUGGCGCACGGGUGAGUAACACGUGGAUGAUCUGCCUCUAUGAUGGGGAUAACAGUUGGAAACGACUGCUAAUACCGAAUACGCUCAUGAUGAACGUUGUGAGGAAAGGUGGCCUCUGCUUGCAAGCUAUCGCAUAGAGAUGAGUCCGCGUCCCAUUAGCUCGUUGGUGGGGUAACGGCCUACCAAGGCAACGAUGGGUAGCCGAUCUGAGAGGGUGACCGGCCACAUUGGGACUGAGACACGGCCCAAACUCC